Molecule: microRNA precursor, 63 nt
Filed under: Chlorocebus sabaeus (green monkey)
Lineage: Eukaryota; Metazoa; Chordata; Mammalia; Primates; Cercopithecidae
Description: miRNA (ENSCSAG00000019907.1)
Source: RNAcentral
UCUGCUUCUCCCACCAUGGGGGAAAAAGGCGGGAGAAGUCCCCGCAGGAUUGAAGCUGCUCCU